CUUUUGCUGGCGACCGGCGCACGGGUGAGUAACACGUAUCCAGCCUGCCCUUUACUCGGGGAUAGCCUUUCGAAAGAAAGAUUAAUACCCGAUAGUAUAAUGAUUCCGCAUGGUUUCAUUAUUAAAGGAUUCCGGUAAAGGAUGGGGAUGCGUUCCAUUAGGUUGUUGGUGAGGUGACGGCUCACCAAGCCUUCGAUGGAUAGGGGUUCUGAGAGGAAGGUCCCCCACAUUGGAACUGAGACACGGUCCAA
This 251-nucleotide ribosomal RNA is filed under the name uncultured bacterium. RNAcentral's name for it is "partial 16S ribosomal RNA". It matches the Rfam family "Bacterial small subunit ribosomal RNA", at positions 78 to 334 of the family's 1533-position model. The record is from RNAcentral.